UAGGGAAUCUUCCGCAAUGGACGCAAGUCUGACGGAGCAACGCCGCGUGAGUGAAGAAGGAUUUCGGUUCGUAAAACUCUGUUGUUAGAGAAGAACAGCGCAUAGAGUAACUGUUAUGCGUGUGACGGUAUCUAACCAGAAAGCCACGGCUAACUACGUGCCAGCAGCCGCGGUAAUACGUAGGUGGCAAGCGUUGUCCGGAUUUAUUGGGCGUAAAGCGAGCGCAGGCGGUCAAUUAAGUCUGAUGUGAAAGCCCCCGGCUCAACCGGGGAGGGUCAUUGGAAACUGGUUGACUUGAGUGCAGAAGAGGAGAGUGGAAUUCCAUGUGUAGCGGUGAAAUGCGUAGAUAUUAGGAGGAAUACCUGUGGCGAAGGCGACUUACUGGACACAAAUCUGACGCUGAGGAACGAAAGCGUGGGUAGCAAACAGG
RNAcentral lists this ribosomal RNA (430 nucleotides) under Bacteroidota bacterium. Its description in RNAcentral is "Bacteroidetes bacterium partial 16S ribosomal RNA". It matches the Rfam family "Bacterial small subunit ribosomal RNA", at positions 355 to 776 of the family's 1533-position model. Lineage: Bacteria; Pseudomonadati; Bacteroidota. The record is from RNAcentral.